Molecule: ribosomal RNA, 252 nt
Filed under: uncultured bacterium
Lineage: Bacteria
Description: partial 16S ribosomal RNA
Rfam family: Bacterial small subunit ribosomal RNA
Source: RNAcentral
UACAGAGGUCUCAAGCGUUGUUCGGAUUCAUUGGGCGUAAAGGGUGCGUAGGCGGCGUGGUAAGUCGGGUGUGAAAUCUCGGAGCUUAACUCCGAAACUGCAUUCGAUACUGCCGUGCUUGAGGACUGGAGAGGAGACUGGAAUUUACGGUGUAGCGGUGAAAUGCGUAGAUAUCGUAAGGAAGACCAGUGGCGAAGGCGGGUCUCUGGACAGUUCCUGACGUGAGGCACGAAGGCCAGGGGAGCAAACGGG